CGUAAACAAAGGGAAGCGAAGGGGCGACCUGGAGCAAAUCUCAAAAAUAACGUCUCAGUUCGGACUGUAGUCUGCAACCCGACUACACGAAGCUGGAAUCGCUAGUAAUCGCGAAUCAGAAUGUCGCGGUGAAUACGUUCCCGGGUCUUGUACACACCGCCCGUCACACCAUGGGAGUUGGUAAUGCCCGAAGUCAGUGACCCAACCGCAAGGAGGGAGCUGCCGAAGGCAGGACUGAUAACUGGGGUGAAGUCGUAACAAGGUACC
RNAcentral lists this ribosomal RNA (267 nucleotides) under uncultured bacterium. RNAcentral's name for it is "partial 16S ribosomal RNA". It matches the Rfam family "Bacterial small subunit ribosomal RNA", at positions 1234 to 1500 of the family's 1533-position model. The record is from RNAcentral.